This 253-nucleotide ribosomal RNA is filed under the name uncultured bacterium. Its description in RNAcentral is "partial 16S ribosomal RNA". It matches the Rfam family "Bacterial small subunit ribosomal RNA", at positions 524 to 776 of the family's 1533-position model. The record is from RNAcentral.
UACGAGGGGGGCAAGCGUUGUUCGGAAUUAUUGGGCGUAAAGGGCGCGUAGGCGGUGCGGUAAGUCACUUGUGAAAUCUCUGAGCUUAACUCAGAACGGCCAAGUGAUACUGCUGUGCUAGAGUGCAGAAGGGGCAAUCGGAAUUCUUGGUGUAGCGGUGAAAUGCGUAGAUAUCAAGAGGAACACCUGAGGUGAAGACGGGUUGCUGGGCUGACACUGACGCUGAGGCGCGAAAGCCAGGGGAGCAAACGGG